UGUGUAAUGGUGUUGGAGGAGCCUACCCAAACACGCCCUGCAAAUGCAAUAUCUCUGGCACCAUGUGUGAAGAUGCUAACAAACGAUAUGAAGGUAAACUUGAAAUAUGUUUCGUUUCAAUCUUACAAACAAAUGAGUUAACAUCUCACUUCAUGUCCGUAUGUAUCACGCACCGAAACAUAAACCCUAACCUUCACAUUGCUGCUGAAUUUCUAUCUAUAGAUGUUUGGAUAACGGAUAUGGAUCAAAAUAAGACUAUUGAAUGUGCUGAGGAUACGGGAUGAAAUCCUCGUGGAGGCAAAGGACCAAGCGGGAGAAUGAUAACUACAUUUGAAGAGGCAACAUCUUCAACGGUAUGUGUGAUUUCCUUUUUGAUAUUUACCAAAACGUUGAACCAUCUAAGGAAUAUUAUAGUGUUGUUGACUUAGUAAAAGGGUAAUAAGAAUUUUCACUGGUUCACUAAACUUAGUGGGUUAGUAGGAAAGUUAAGGUUGGUGGAUUCAUCUAUUGACCUUGAGAAUGAUGAUCUAAUGAAGGUUUUCCACUUAGGUCAAAGUACUACUUUUGGAAAGUGAUUUCAGCACACGCCUACACGCUCGGUUAUCACUAAUAUAUAGCAUAUAUAACAUAUGUAUAUAUAACAUAUGUUUCUAAUUUGUAACUAUAUUGGAUUGUAUGAAUGAUAUUACCAAUUGAUGUAUAGUCAUUUUACUUGAAAAUAUGAUUCAUGAAAAAUGAAAUAUAACAUAUUAUAUAAAAUUAAAAAAUAUUACAUAUUUUAUAUAAUUAAAAAAAAAUAUAUUAUAUAUACACAUGUAACCUUGGUUUUAAAAAGCGUGCCUGUGGCGCGAGGCGCACUCGCCCCAGCGCCUUAUGCAACCUGAGGCGCAGGCUGUACAGAAAGGUUAAUAUAUAAUCUCCUUGCGCCUCGCGUAUGUAAAGCCCGCUGCUUUUGCGCUUUGUGCCUAGGUUUUAGACCUCGUCACUUUUGUGCGCUUUGCGCCAUUUAAAACCAAGCGUAUAUCCAAAACCAAACUAUAAAAGCCGGUUCAUUACUGAACCAUUAUUUUCUCUAUUAGUUCAGUUAAUUUGGUUAUGGUUUAGUUAUUUGGUUUUUCUGCUCACCCCUAGCAUUAUUAUAUUCAUGACAAAAUCAUAGUUUUUCGAUGGUUGAGUCAUGAUCGCAUUAAUGCUAUUUAAUAUCUCCCAAUUCUCUAUAAAUGACCGGUGGUUGCUCCUACGUACAAAACCCUAAAAUCAAUGGCAGCAAAUGACCGAUCCCUGAUUGAGCUCCCAAAUCUCAAUCUGGAAGAUGUUCUUUCAAAGCUGCCAUUACUGUCUCUCAUUGCUUGUUGCGGUGUUUCCAAGUCCCUCUUGACUCUCAUUAAAAAUGAUUCAGAUUUUGCAAAAUCAGAACCCCAAUUAAUGAUUCAGAUUCAGAGUAUAUAACACAAUCGUGUAACGGAUACUGAUACUACUUCGCGAGUUGAAGUUAAGCCGUUAGAUGGUUUUUAUAUAACACAAUCGUGUAACGGAAUACUUCUUUUGGAGAGAAUGAGCAAAGCUACCGGUGUAUGCUAUACAAUCCUGUUACAACAGGUGAAUGCACACUGCUUCCUGAAAUUAAACAUGUUUAUAUAGACGCAACGUCUGUGUUUUUUUACUGCCCGAAAACAAAUCGGGUUGAAGUUGUCUGCGUCUUUCACUGUUUGAAUCCAGAUUCAGAUGUUUCAUCUGAUUCUGAUGAUCCUGCUACAGAACUGAUUCAGACUCUGAUUCGGAAAUGUUGAAUCCAGAAGAUGAUGUGAUGGGGGCGAUCUAUGUACUCAUGGGAGUCUCUUGGCAAAUUACCCUUUUCUCCUCUUAACAUUAUUUACCAUCCAUGCCACUUGGAAAAAGCUGUUCAUUGGUUAUGCGUGGACGGUACCGUUCCAUAUUUCAUAGUUUUCUUCAAUUUCGAGACCCGUGAAGUUGGGGAAAUUCCAGGCCCGGCCCAGGUGGUGCUGGCUCAUCCAUAUGCAAAUGAUUUUUUAACCUUGGUAACCGUCUUUCAAUUUUUGACCGUCUUACAGAAGCAACAAAGUUUAAUGUUUGGGUAAUGAAGGAAUACGGCGUGAAAGAUUCAUGGAGUAGAGAAUUACACCACUGUUUGGGGUGCGUACGACCUCCACUGGUGUUUUACGCCUGUGAAACAAUGGGGAAGUAGUGAUGGUUAGUUAGUAUAUUUGGUUAUAUUUUAUUUUAUGACUUGUUAACAAAGAAGGGUAGAAUCGUAAAUCAUCGGCGACUUUGGACUGCCUUGCCGCCGCAUACUCCUAGCUUAAUUUCAUUGAGGGAUGUUGUGAGAGGUACCAACUUGGAAGUGGUAAAUGUGGAACCAAGGGUUGCUGAUCCAGGGUUGAAUCUGGAGUUAGCAGCAACUUUCUCAGAGGUCGGACUACAAGUUGGACUGUUGCCUGCCGAUCCAACUAGUUGCUUGGCAGAUUAAUUCUAGUAUGAAACAAAUAAGGUUUUUAAUCAUGGUAUGUCAAAUUUAAAGUCGAAUGAGACCAAAAUAGACAAUGUAUAACCUUUUAUGUUGUGGUACUAGUUUAAUGUUAAAAUGUUUUUGAGGAAU
Molecule: long non-coding RNA, 2617 nt
Organism: Helianthus annuus (common sunflower)
Lineage: Eukaryota; Viridiplantae; Streptophyta; Magnoliopsida; Asterales; Asteraceae
Exons: 3
Source: RefSeq, a predicted model, not a curated record